AUCGGCGGUUGGGCAGCGUUGGGUAAGCUUGGUUUUAAAGGAGCCGGAGGUGGGAGCUGCGGAAGACCCGGGAUCCACGGGAGGCGGCGGCCGCAGCCUGGGAUUCCCCAGGGACCCCCCGGAGCCGCCGCGUCUCCCAUGGACUUGCCCGGGGACUCCAGCCCGCCUGGCCAGCCGCGUCUGUGCCGCCAGCCUCUGACUCGAGCAUUAUGGGGAGCCAGGAGCCCGAAACGGCCGAGGCUGCAGCUCCCGGGGGCCCCUUCUCCCCUGGAAAAGGCCUCUCGGCGGGUCCUGGCCGUGGUGCUAGAAGAUGUCAUGGCUGUUCACAGGGUCCCCGUGGUGCCCUCAAAGGAGACCUCCAUACCACAGCACCACAGCUACCGUCAGGAUCCUGUCCACAGGCAGCCGCCUGCCUCGCCACCCCGGCAGGCCGGGUGGUCCUCGCAGGCCAGGUGAGCAUGGCAGGAUGGGGGUAAGCCGAGGGCCCAGCUGAGCCAUUUUAAUCUUCCUGUUCCCUCGCUAGGCCUCCCGACCCUCUGUGUUUGUGUCGCG
This 552-nucleotide small RNA is filed under the name Pan troglodytes (chimpanzee). RNAcentral describes it as "retained intron". Lineage: Eukaryota; Metazoa; Chordata; Mammalia; Primates; Hominidae. The record is from RNAcentral.